RNAcentral lists this ribosomal RNA (574 nucleotides) under uncultured bacterium. RNAcentral's name for it is "partial 16S ribosomal RNA". It matches the Rfam family "Bacterial small subunit ribosomal RNA", at positions 355 to 922 of the family's 1533-position model. The record is from RNAcentral.
UGGGGAAUUUUGGACAAUGGGGGAAACCCUGAUCCAGCCAUCCCGCGUGUGCGAUGAAGGCCUUCGGGUUGUAAAGCACUUUUGGCAGGAAAGAAACGUCGCGGGUUAAUACCCCGCGAAACUGACGGUACCUGCAGAAUAAGCACCGGCUAACUACGUGCCAGCAGCCGCGGUAAUACGUAGGGUGCAAGCGUUAAUCGGAAUUACUGGGCGUAAAGCGUGCGCAGGCGGUUCGGAAAGAAAGAUGUGAAAUCCCAGAGCUUAACUUUGGAACUGCAUUUUUAACUACCGGGCUAGAGUGCGUCAGAGGGAGGUGGAAUUCCGCGUGUAGCAGUGAAAUGCGUAGAUAUGCGGAGGAACACCGAUGGCGAAGGCAGCCUCCUGGGAUAACACUGACGCUCAUGCACGAAAGCGUGGGGAGCAAACAGGAUUAGAUACCCUGGUAGUCCACGCCCUAAACGAUGUCAACUAGCUGUUGGGGCCUUCGGGCCUUGGUAGCGCAGCUAACGCGUGAAGUUGACCGCCUGGGGAGUACGGUCGCAAGAUUAAAACUUAAAGGAAUUGACGGGGGUGC